GCAUAACUUGACUUGUAUUAUAUUAUGAUACAAAAUACAAACUUAUAUCGAGAAAGAAAAAUCCCUAUUGAGAAGUUUGCACUUCAUAGCUAUUCUGCUUAUUUUUUGGGGGGGGUUCAAUUUUUAAAUUUUUAUUAAUAAAUUAACUCAAUCCAUAGAUUCUAUAGAACGUUUCAUUUAGAUAGAUAAGUAGCUUGGCAUUGCUCUUCAGAAGAGGGUAAAAGUCUUGCGCUGCAAAGUUGAAGGCUUCUCAUACACUUCUCAUGUUUGGACAGUCUUGCCAUCAAAAUCUAGAGUAUUUGUUCUGACGAGUUGUAACACGUUCGUCAUCAUCUAGUGGUGUGGUGAAUUGUGAUUCUUGAGAAACUUUUGUAAGUUUAGACAAGAACAAGAUUUGAAUGCUACUUAAUAGUUGUCCCUUGAUUGUCAGUUUCAACCUUGAGUAUUGUAUGUUAGGUUCAAUAUGUAUGAAAAGUGUGAAUGGAAAAUGGAGGAAAAAUAGUGGAGAGAAAAAGAGACACUAAAAUGGAAAGUGUACUUUUUUAAAGGAAAGUUCACUAAUUCUCCCACAUUGGUGGGAGAAGGGAACUUUGAAGUGUUUAUAAUAAGAAGCACUUACUCCACAUGGAUAGUGAGGCAAGAACAAGGUGGUGCCUCGCGCCGUCAUCGUCGUCGCUCACUCAGCUUCAUAUUUAGAUUUGAAUAAUGAUCGAUCGAUGAGAUCUAUCUUUUUAGACAAAGUUUAUUUGAUAGAAAUUUAAUCUGAAAAUACCAAAGGGAAAAAUGCAAUAAUUUUUUCUGUGUUUUGAUCCUCCAUUUAUAUGCAUUCAUGCAGUGGUGGAACACUAUUUUGAAAUGUAGUGCAGAAGCGAAUUGAUGCUUCGGAAGGGAUGUAACCCUUCAAUGUAAUAACACACAGAUUCAUAAAAUGGCAUGUCUGUUCGAAAAAGACGCAUUCUUUGGACAAACAAACAUGAUUUUCCAGAAAGGUUAUACCUUUUAAUUGAACCAUUGCCACCUUUCAGAAGAGACACCUGAUGGCUAUAUAAACCUGCUUUCAUCCACAGGUUUAGGAACGACAAAAAAAUUUCUGAACGUCCAAACUCUUCUUGUCUUAAAAAAACAUUCCAUGUGAUCAAUCAAACCGUUGAGUGAGUUCAAAGAUAUUCCAAUUGUUUGAGGUACAGCUACAGUUGGUUUGUUUGGCCAUUUUAUCUAGGGAGGAAGAUUCCAUAACCUCGGGUACAGUGAGGGAAAUUAUUCCUUAAGGACACUCCGUGAAGUCAGGGGACUUGGCCUUAAAAUUCUAUUUUAUCUCAUUUCUGAAGGUUAACAUACUUCUUGGAUAGAUUAUUUAUAAUCCUAGGUUGAAGGUGUUAAGGAACUUCAUAAGUGUUCUAGUCUUAGACUUGGACUUGUGUUGAAGUUAUUCUUGCAUGUAUAUACAGAUUCUUGUACCCGAAAACAUUUUAAAUAACAAUCUUAAAGAAUAAUAUUUUUGGAAUCUGUAUAGCUUGUUUUUGAAGAUUAAAGCUUUAAGCUUUCUACUCCGUUUGAACUUAACUAGUGAUUUGAAGACAUAAAUCUUCAUCAAAAGUUAAUUAUCACUCGGUUAACGAUUGAAAGUCAUAAAAAAUUCAUCGUUAAACUAGAAACAAGAAGUGUUUAAAGUUACUGCAACUUUUAAUAAGUAUUUCGAUAUACUAAAGGUAUUGUCUUGUGGUGACAGGAAAAUGACGACUGAUAGUCAAAUGCAUAAUGCUGGAAUGACUAUGGCGGCAACUAGUAUUGCCACGGAGAGUCGUGCUAAUGCUCUGCAAGCUAUGUCACCGGCGAAGAAACUCAGAAAGUUCGCGGGUAUUGACUUCAAGAGAUGGCAGGAAAAAAUGUUCUUCUACUUCAUAACUCUUUGUCUUCAAAGGUUCACGGUUGAGGAAACUCCAGAGCUGCCCGAGGGAACCUUUGAAAAAGAACGCUUCGUGAUUGUGGAGGACACUCAGAUUUCCUUUGCAGGAAUUACAUCUGGAGUGGUCUCUAAGAUGACCUUUACAAUGUAUACAAUGGAACAAAGACUUCGAAAGAGUUAUGGGGAGCGCUAGAACGGAAGUAUAAGACGGAGGAUGUAGGAACUAAAAAGUUCUUUGUUGCAAGAUUCCUGGAGUAUAAAUGGUAGACAACAAGUCUAUUGUUUCCCAAGUGCAAGAACUACAAAUGAUCAUCCAUGAUCUCCUUGCGAAAGGUAUAAUUUUGACAAAUACCUUUGUUGAACCAAUUAAAAAUGGUCUUAAUAUUCACUUAACCUUUAUUGUAGGUCUGAUUAUGAAUGAGGUGUUUCAAGUAGCAGCAAUAAUAGAGAUGUCAGUCGAAGAUCUGAUUGUACAGCUAUGCAUUGAAAAAGAUAAUAAGACUAUGGAAAGAAGGUCAAGAGGCAAUUCUAUAAUGAAUGGAGCAAACAUUAUAGAAGAUAACCAAAAUAACUCCAAAAAGUGAAAGAAAGCUGGAAAUGAAAGCAAUCAACCCAAGGAGAAAUUCAAAGAAAAGUGCUUCAACUGUGGCAAGAUUAGCCACAAGUCUACGGAUUUUUGUACCCCGAAGAAAGGGAAAAAGAAGGACCAAGCAAAUUUGGCUGAGUCUAAGAAAGAAAUGGAUGAUCUGUGUGCUAUACUUUCCGAAUGCAGAUUGGUGGGAAAUCCUCGCAAAUAGUAGAUGGAUUUUGUGCCACCCGCCAUGUUUGUGCUAACAAGGAGUUGUUUUCAACGUUCGCUCUGACUCAAGUAGAAGAAAAGAUCUACAUGGAAAACUCCACUACUACAAAAGUGGAAGGAACUGGAAAAGUGUGCUUGAAGAUGACUUCCAGCAAGGUGUUGACACUAAACAAUAUCUUCUAUGUUUCGGAGUUACAAAAGAACUUGAUUUCUGUUUCACUUCUAGACAAAAACGGAUUCAAAUGUGUAUUUGUUUGCAAAAAAAUUGUACUUAGUAAAGGAGAAGUGUAUGUAGGAAAAGACUACCUCAAUGAGGGCCUAUUCAAAAUGAAUGUAAUAAAUGUUGAAAUCAAUAAAAGUUCAAAUUCUUCUUACUUGCUUGAGUCUCCCAAUUUGUGGCAUGAACGAAUAGGCUAUGUUAAUUACAAAACAUUACGAAAACUGAUUAAAUUAGAAGUUUUGCCAAACUUUGAGUCCAAUAAAUCAAAGUGUCAAACUUGUGUGGAAUCAAAGUAUACUAAGCGUCCGUAUAAGUCCGUUAAAAGGAAUUCCAAUCCCUUAGACUUAAUCCACACUGACAUUUGUGAUAUGAAGUCAACACCAUCAUGUGGUGGAAAAAAGUAUUUCAUAGCUUUUAUUAACGAUUGCACUAGAUAUUGUUAUGUCUACUUGCUAAAUAGUAAGGAUGAAGCAAUAGAAGCAUUUAGGCAAUACAAAACUGAAGUUGAAAAUCAGUUAGAGAAAAAGAUCAAAACUAUAAGAAGUGAUUAUGAAUCUCCUUUCGCCGUAGAGAAUGAAAUUGUCAAUCAAAAUAUGGCCCCGUAUUCACCUCAAUUUAAUGGAAUUGCAGAAAGGAAAAACCGAACUUUGAAGGAAAUGAUGAAUACCUUACUUAUAAGUUCAGGUUUACCGCAAAGCUUGUGGGGAGAGGCUAUCCAUACAGCCAACCGUAUACUCAAUAGAGUUUCCCAUAGUAAGACACAAUCAAUUCCUUAUGAAAAAUGAAAGAGGAAGGAAACUCAACUUGAAAUAUUUCAAAGUGUGGGGGUGUCUGGCAAAGUUUCAAGUUCCUAUGCCUAAAAGGGUUAAGAUAGGACCUAAGACGGUGGACUGCGUGUUCAUAGGAUAUGCUAAAAGUAGUAAAGCAUGUUGAUUUUUGGUUCAUAAAUUCAAACAUUCGAAUAUUAAUAAAAACACGAUAAUUAAAUCAAAUAACGCUAAAUUCUUUGAAAAUAUUUAUCCGUAUAAAACUAGACAUGAACAGUUUAGUGGAGGGUCUAAAUGACCUCGAUAUGAACCAAGUGAGAAUGUACAUAAUGAUGAGAAUCCAAGACGUAGUACACGUCAAAUAACGUUAAAUUCAUUUGGAUCAAAUUUUGCAACAUUUCUCUUAGAAAAUGAGCCUCAAACAUUUAAAGAAGCGAUGGCAUCUUCGGACUCAUCCUUUUAGAAAGAGGCAGUCGAUAGUGAAAUUGAUUCAAUCUUAAGCAACCAUACAUAGGAGUUGGUUUAUCUUCCUUCAAAAAACAAACCUUUAGGUUCUAAAUAGAUCUUCAAAAGAAAAAUUAAAGUUGAUGGUACUAUUGAUAAAUACAAGGCAAGACUUGUAGUAAAAAGCUUCAAACAAAAAGAAGGCCUUGAUUACUUUGAUACAUACUCGCCGAUAACAAGGAUAGCAUCGAUUCAAAUUUUAAUUGCCUUAGCAGCGAUAUAUGGUCUUGAAAUCCAUCAAAUGAAUGUGAAAACAGCAUUCCUGAAUGGAGAAUUGGAGGAAGAAAUUUACAUGGAACAGUCUGAGGGUUUUGUGGUUUUAGGAAAAGAAAAUAAGGUGUGUCAGCUUGUUAAGUCACUUUAUGGACUAAAACAAGCACCUAAGCAAUGGCAUGCAAAGUUUGACCAAAUCUAUAUUGGCAAACAGAUUCAAAAUUAAUGAAUGUGUAUUAAAAACACUCCAUAUCACCCAGUCAUUGUGUGUUUAUAUGUGGAUGACAUAUUGAUCAUCAGUAGAUACAUUUCAGACAUAAAUGCAAUGAAAUGAAUGCUCGAGAGAAAUUUUGAUAUGAAAGACCUUAGAGUUGCGGAUGUGAUCUUAGGGAUAAGAAUCCAUAGAACUCCACAAGGGUUGGCAUUGUCACAGCCUCAUUAUAUCGAAAAGGUACUUGACAAAUUCAAGUAUAUAAAAUUUGGUAUUGCCAAGACUCCAUUGAAUGUGAGCUUUGCACUUUGAAAGAAUGAAGGUGAAAAUGACUCAUAAUUGGAGUACGUAAGAGUAUUGAGAUGUUUAAUGUAUAUAAUAAACUGUACACAACCAGACAUAGCAUGUGCUAUAAGUAAGUUGAGUCGGUACAUGAGUAAUCCUAAUAAAACUCAUUGGAUGGCAAUGAAAAGAGUUUUGAGGUAUCUUAAAUACACUCAAGACUAUGUUUUUCAUUAUAAUAAAUAUCCCGCGGUACUUGAAGGAUAUAGUGAUGUAAAUUGGAUCACCAGAUCGAAUGAAGUAAAAUCUACGAGUGGAUAUGUAUUUACUAUCAGUGGAGGAGCGGUCUCUUGGAAAUCAUCUAAACAGACUUGUAUGGCUCGCUCUACAAUGGAAUUUGAAUUUAUCGCAUUGGAUAAAGCUGGUAAAAAAGCAGAAUGGUUCUAGAAUUUCUUGGAAGAUAUUCCUUAUUGGCGUAAACCAAUGGCACCAGUAUGUAUACACUAUGAUAGCCAAGUGGCAAUAGAACGGUAAAUAUCGUCACAUAAGACGAAGACAUAAUACCGUUAGAGAAUAUAUCGCUAUUGGAAUUAUCACUGUUGACUAUGUGAAUUCAAAGGAUAAUGUAUCGGAUCAACUUACACAAGGCCUAUCUAGAGAAAGAGUUGAGAAAACAUCCAAGGGAAUGGGUUUAAGGCCUAGGACAAGUCAGCAUAACGGUAACUCUACCUAGCAGACUGGAGAUCCCAAGAGCUAGGUUCAAGGAGAUCAAACAAAGUUGUGUCUGACAGGUUCAACAUUGUCAAAUACCCAACUCAUUCUCAUGAUGUAGACAAUUUUUUAGUAAACGAGGAUAAGACUUAUGGUGUGAAGUCUUUUAAUGAUUAUUAAAUUUGGCAGAUUUGACUAAAUAGUUUAAUAUAUAGGAUUGAACGUUUAGAAAUCACCUAGACGAAGUGGAAUCCGCUUCAAGGAGAAUGUUAGUAAAGGCCUAUUCUCCAUUCAUGUGGGGGAUUGUUGGGUUCAAUAUGUAUGAAAAGUGUGAAUGAAAAAUGAAGGAAAAUAGUGGAGAGAAAAAGAGACACUAAAAUGAAAAGUGUACUUAUUUAAGGGAAAGUUCAUUAAUUCUCCCACAUUGGUGGAAGAAGGGAACUUUGAAGUGUUUAUAAUAAGAAGCACUUACUCCACAUGGAUAUUGAGGCAAGAACAAGGUGGUGCCACGCGCCGUCGUCAUCGUCGCUCGCUCGGCUUCGGAUUUAAAUUUGGAUUUGGAUUUGGAUAAUAAUUGGUCGGUGAGAUCUAUCUUUUUGGACAAAGUUUAUUUGACAGAAAUUUAAUCUGAAAAUACCAAAGGAAAAAUGCAACAAUUUUUUCUAUGUUUUGAUCCUCCAUUUAUAUUCAUGCAUGCAGUGGCGAAAACACUAUUUCGAAAUGCAGUGCAGAAGCGAAUUGAUGCUUCGAAAGGGAUGGAACCCUUCAAUGAAAUGACACACUGAUUCAUGAAAUGGUAUGUCUGUUCGAAAAAGACGCAUUCUUUGGACGAACAAACAUAAUUUUUCAGAAAGGUUACACCUUUUAAGUGAAUCAUUGCCACCUUUCAGAAGAGGCACCUGAUGGCUAUAUCAACCUGUUUUCAUCCACAGGUUUAGGAACAACAAAAAAAUUUCUGAACUUACAAACUCUUCUUGUCUUCAAAAAAUUAUUCUGUGUGAUCAAUCAAACUGUUGAGUGAGUUCGAAGAGAUUUCAAUUGUCUGAGAUACCGCUAUAGUUGGUUUAUUUGGCCAUUUUAUCCUGGGAGGAAGAUUCCAUAACCUCGGGUAUAGUGAGGGGAAUUAUUCCUUAAGAACACUCCGUGAAGUCGGGGGACUUGUCCUUAAAAUUCUGUUUCAUCUUAUUUCUGAAAGUAGGAUAGAUUAUUCAUAAUCUUGUGUUGAAGGUGUUAAGGAACUUCAUAAAUGUUCUAGUCUUAGACUUGAACUUGUGUUGAAGUUAUUAUUGCAUGUAUAUACAGAUUCUUGUACCUGAAAACAUUUUAAAUAACAUUGGAUUGGGUUGAAAGUGAUUGAUAUGCGUAAUCUUCAAAAGAUCAGGUCAGUGUCCAUUUGGAUGAACAUAAGCCAUCUUAUUAAAAUCCAAAAAUGUCACAAUCUGAUUGAAAUAUAGAGUUAGUUGGUGGGGAGAUAAAUGUUUGAUUCAAUCUGAAAUCAAAGAUUGAAAUGAUUGCAUGUUUAUCUAUGUGUUUGAUAAGUGUAAGCAAUCAUUUCAAAGAUUUUGUUGAAUGACAACAGCUCCUCUCACUAAUAAACCUGAAGCGCCACAAUAAAGCACCUCUCAAACUUUGAUCAGAUGUUCUUCCAACUCAAAUCAUUUCGAACAAAUACUAAUUCCUUAAUUGAAUCGGUGAAGAUCAAAUCUGUUUAUCAAAAGGCUUCCCCAAUUGCUCAAGAUAACUCUUUUCAACUGAGGAACAUAACAAGAUCAUUUCGGUGAGAAUGGCAUGAUUUUGAAAUUAAGUGACUAUAUAUCCUUCAAGUACCGCAGGAUAUUUAUUAUAAUGUAGAGCAUAAUUUUGAGUGUAUUUAAGAUACCUCAAAACUCUUUUUAUUGCCAUCCAGUGAGUUUUGUUGGGAUUACUCGUGUACCGACUUAAUUUACUGAUAGCGCAUGCUAUGUCUGGUCGUGUACAGUUCAUUAUAUACAUUAAAAAUUCCAAUACUCUUGUGUACUCUAAUUGCGAGUCACUUUCACCUUCAUUCUUUUGAAGUGCGAAACUCGCAUCCAAUGGAGUCUUGGCAAUACCAAAUUCUAUAUACUUGAACUUGUCAAGUACCUUUUCGAUAUAAUGAGACUGUGAUAAUGCCAACCCUUUUGGAGUUCGAUGGAUUCUUAUACCUAAGAUCACAUUUGCAACUCCAAGGUCCUUCAUAUCAAACUUGCUCUCGAGCAUUCAUUUUGUUGUAUUUAUGUUAGAAAUGUCUCUACUGAUGAUCAACAUAUCAUCCACAUAUAAACAUAUAAUGACUUGGUGAUUUGGAGUGUUUUUAAUAUAAACACAUUUAUCACAUUCAUUUAUUUUGAAUUCGUUUGCCAACAUGAUUUGGUCAAACUUCGCAUGCCAUUGUUUUGGUGCUUGCUUUAGUCCAUAUAGUGACUUGAUAAGUUUACACACCUUGUUUUUCUUUCCUGGAACCAUAAAAUCCUCAGGUUGUUCCAUGUAAAUUUCUUCCUCCAAAUCUCCAUUUAGGAAUGUGGUUUUCACAUCCAUUUGAUGGAUUUGAAGAUCAUAUACCACCGCUAAGGCAAUUAACAUUCGAAUCGAGGUUAUCCUUAUUACUGGCGAGUAUGUAUCAAAGUAAUCAAGGUCUUUAAAUGUUUGAGGUUCAUUUUCUAAGAGAAAUGUUACAAAAUUCAAUCCAAACAAAGUUGACGUUCUUUGAUGUGUACUACGUCUUGGAUUUUCUUCAUUAUGUACAUUCUCACUUAGUUCAUCUCGAGGUCAUUUAGAUCCUUCGCUAGAUUGUUCGUGUUUAAUUUUAUACGGGUAAAUGUUUUCAAAGAAUUCAGCAUUGUCUGAUUCAAUUAUCGUAUUUUCAUUAAUAUUCGGAUGUUCAGAUUUAUGAACCAAAAAUUGAUAUGCUUUACUACUUUUAGCAUAUCCUAUGAACACACAGUCCACCAUUUUAGGUCCUAUAUUAACCCUUUUAGGUAUAGGAACUUAAACCUUCGCUAGACACCCUCACACUUUGAAAUAUUUCAAGUUAGGUUUCCUUCCUUUCCAUUUUUCGUAAUGAAUUGAUUGUGUCUUACUAUGGGGAACUCUGUUGAGUAUACGAUUGUCCAUAAGGAUGGCCUCGCCCCAUAAGUUCUGCGGUAAACCAGAACUUAUAAGUAAGACAUUCAUCAUUUUCUUCAAAGUUCGGUUUUUCCUUUCCGGAAUUCCAUUAGAUUGAGAUGAAUACGGGGCCGUAGUUUGAUGGAUUAUUCCUUAAGAUUGUUAUUUCCAUAAUAUAUUCGGGUAUGCAGAAUCUGUAUAUUGCAACAACAACUUCAAAUCGAGUUCAAGUAUGAACAAGAACACAAUGAAGUAUUAAAUAGCCUCAACACAAGAUCAAAAUGACCUUUCCAAAAGGUAUAUUUAUUUUUCAAAAAAUAAAGAUGAAACAAAAAUGAUUAAGGCCAAGUCGUCUGAAUUCAUGGACUUUCCUUACGGAAUAAUUCCCCUCACUGUACCCGAGGUUAUGGAAUCUUCCUCCUAGGAUAAAAUGGCCUUCAAUCCGACUAUAGCGGUACCUCAAAUAGGCGGAUUCUUCGAACACACUCACGGUUUGAAUGAUCACACUUAGAGUAUUUUUAAGACAAGAAGAAGAAGUUUUUAAUCUGAAAAUUUUUGUAUUUUCUAUCUCAUAAACCUGUGGAUGAAACCAGGUUUAUAUAGCCACUAGAUGCCCCUUUGAAAAUGUGGCAUUGGUUCAUAUUAGAGGUGUGUGACUUUCCUGAAAAUGCAUGUCUAUUCACUUAAACAAUGUAGAAAUUUUCUGAAACAGUGCACUGAUUCACUGAAAAAGUGUGUACUUUCAUUGAAGAAUUGCAACUUUCUGAAACUGUGCAAUCUUCUGUAACAGAAGCAACAAUCUGAAAUAGUGUAACCUUCUGUAAUAGAAGCAAUAAUCUGAAAUUGUGCGACCUUCUAUAACCUCAUUUCAAAUAGACGUAUCAGUUCUGAAACACUAUUACUGCGUGUAUAUAUAUAAAUGGAGGCUGAAAUAGUGCAGAAAAAUUUUACUGCAUUUUUCCUUGGCAUUCUUCGGAAUUUAAAUAAAUUUUGUCCAAAAAAGAUAGAUCUCAUCGAUCGAUCAUUUUCGAAAUCCAAAGCCGAAGCCGAGCUGAGCGAGCGACGAUGACGACGGCGCAAAGCAUCAUCUAUUUCUUGCCUCACUUGCCAUGUGGAGUAAGUGUUUCUCAUUAUAAACACUCACAAGUUCUCUUCUUCCACCAAUGUGGGAGAAAGAGUAAACUUGUCAAAAUUGAGUACACUUUUCAUUUUUGGUGUUAACUCAAUUUUUUCUCUUCUACUUGAUUUCUCCAUUUUCCAUUCAACACACUUUCAUUACUAUGAACCCAACAUGUUCUUCUAUUCCAACAAGGAAGAACCUCCUUUAUAGAGGUGUAGGAUUUCUUCCACAAAUAAAUAUCAGUAAUAUGAAUAGUCAUUUGAGGAGGAGUGGACAAUUAGUAGGAAAAAGAUGUCUUAGUGGUUACACAAGUUACUCCAAAACAAUUGAUCAUAUUCUUGUCAAUUUAUAUCCACUAGCACAAAUAAAUCAUAAGGGGAGCAUGUCAUUGUUGUUACAUGAGUUACAAGAAUAUGACACAACUUUCUCCACUUUAUGUCUACUAAUUAUCAUGUAUUUUAAUAUUAUAAUUUAAUGGGGAUCUUUCAAAAAUAACAGCAAUUUGCUAUAAAACCCACCUUCCAUAGCCACAUUUUACAUAAUUACUAUUUAUAGUCAUUGUAAUCGAUUUACGUCAGCUCUAUUCAGUUUUACAGAUAAUAUGUAUUCAUAUAAAAUAUGAAUACAAUCCCUAUUAGUCACGCAAGAAAUGAAAUUUAAUAUUUUUAAAAAGAAAAAAAAUCUCAAUCACGUUUAUCUAGUUGAACUGAAUAUUUUCUUGUCUAACACUACUAUUAUCUUUUUUUAUAUUUUUUUCUUUUUCAUGUUUUUUCCAUUUUUUCUUCUUUUUUUUCCUAUUUUUAUUUUCUUCAUUUAUUUCUUUUUGUUUUUUUUGUUUUUUUGUUUUUCUCUCUCUUUAAUCUCUAACUUCUAUUUCUCUUUCUUCUUUUCUUUUCUUCUUUGAUUUUUUUAAUUUUCUUUUUUUGUACUUAUUUUCUUUAUCAUUUUUUUAUUUUAUUUUAUAUUUUUGUAUUUUCAAAAAAUAUGACUAGUCGAGCACAAGUCAUGGAUGAUAACGUAAAUAUCACAAUUAUUUAUCGUAUUUGUAGUCACACUAUUAUUUAUAUUUUUGUAUUCAUUGAUACAACUGUAUUUGUAAUUGUAUUUUAAAGUUUGCACCUGUAUUUAUAUUUUAUAGUUCGCAUUUGUAUUUGUAUUUAAUAGUUCGCACUUGUAUUUGUAUUUGUUAGUUUAUGCCAUCAUUUAUAUUUUAUAAAAUUCGCACUUGUAUUUUAAAGAACUAUUUUGUAUUUGUAUUUUAUAAUGAACUGCAUAGUAUAUUGGAUUAUAUUUAUACUGUGGUUUUAUUGUGUUUGUAUAUUUAGAUUAUAUUUGAUUAUACUUGUAUUUGUAUUCUAUUUUCGUCGAUACCUUUUUAUUUUCUUAAAAUAUUAUUUCGUAUUUGUAUUUGUAAGUUGAUUGUAUAUUGUAUUUAGUCUUGACUAUGUACAAUUUAUCAUUUUUAUUUGUAUACAAACAAGUAAAUGCAUUAAUUGUAUUUUCUUGAUUCUAAAAUACAUAAAUAUGUAAUGUAUCAUUUGAUACAAAUGUACCGUUUUGUAUUUGUAUAUCAAGAUUAUCAUUCAUAUUUGUAAAUAAACAAAUAUCACUUGAUACAAAUACAAUGACAAACAAAUGAAACAAAUAAUUUUACAAAUACAAAUACAAUAUGUAUUUGUAUAAAAAUUUUAGUUGUAUUUAUUUGUAUAAAUAAAUACAAUUCGUAUCAAUAAAUACAAACAAGUAUUCGUAGAAAGAAAAUCAAACGUUCCUUCUCAAUAAUUAAAAAAUACAAAUGAUAGUUCACAUUUGUAUUUAUAUGUUAUAGUUCGCAUUUGUAUUUGUAUUUUAUAGUUCACACUUGUAUUUAUAUGUUAUAGUUCGCAUUUGAAUUUGUAUUUUAUAGUUCGCACUUGUACUUGUAUGUUAUAGUUCGCAUUUGUAUUUGUAUUUUAUAGUUCGUAUUUGUAUUUAUGUUUGCUAGUUCGCAUAAAUGAAAAGAAGGAGAAAAAUUGAAAAGGAAAAAAAAGGAGAAAAAAUGAAAGAAAAAGGAGGAGAAAAAAAUGAAGGAAAAAAAUACAAAAAAAGGGAGAGUAAUAGAAAAUAGAGAAAAAAAAAGAGGAGAAAAAUGAAAAGGAAAAAAAUAAAAAGAAAAAAUGAAUAAAAAAUAAAAAUAAAGAGAAAACAACAAAAAAAGGAAAAGAAAAACUGAAAAAGGAAAACUGAAAAAGGAAAAAAGAAGAAGAGAAUAAUAGAAAAUAGAAAAAGAGAGAAAAUACAUGAGAGAAGUUAUGAAUUGUAAUUAGGAAUAAUUAAUAGGCAAGAGGGGGCUAUGAAUUGUAAUUAAUUGACACUUAGGCUAAAUAAGGUAAUUAGGAGUUUAUGUUUGUUAAAAUAUGUAGUUAUCCCUAUUUUAAUACUAAAAUCCACCUAAAUUUAACAAUUAAUUAAAAAUAUUAAACUUAACCUAAUUUGCUUACUCGUUUGAACAAAAUAAUUUUUUAAAAAGAAAAAUGGAAACCUUUUGCUUAUGAUAAUUAAAGAAAUCGUAUAUUAUAUUGAAUAAAAUAGCAUUUUAAAGUAUUUUAAAUAUAAAAAUCAUAAUUACUUAUCAGUUAUAUAGAAAGAUGAGUUCAAGAACAGCCAUAUUUAAAUUAUUUGUGUAAUAUUAUAUUAGUGUUUAACAUUUUUUAAUCUAUCGAUCUAUAUAAAUAUUGAUUGAAAAUUUUACAGUACAUAAGUUUUAUUUAGAUAAAAAUAAAAUUUUAAUAAAAAAUAUUAUAAAAGUUAUUUAAAAUAAAUUUUCUCUAUAAAAUAAUUUUAGUUGUAAAAGUCUAUUUAUACAUGUCCUUUUUGAUCAUUUGUCUUUCAAAAGUACUUCUUGAAAAACUUAUCCAACACAAAUUGCUUUUUUUCAAAAGCACAGAUGUUAUUUUAUAACGGUGAUUCUCAAAUAAAAAAAUUUUCUAGCAGCAAUCCCAAACGGGCUCUAAAUUAUGCCUUUUACAAUAUAACUUGUGGGUUCCGAACUUAUUCUUUUGUCUCUAUCGACAUAAAUUCUAUAGGAAUGAAAUGGCAUAACUUGACUUGUGUUAUAUUAUAUUAUGAUACAAAAUACAAACUUAUAUGAGAAAGAAAAAUCCCUAUUGAAGUUUGGAUAGAUAAGUGGCUUGACAUUGCCCUUCAGGAGGAGGUAAAAGUCCUGUUCUGCAAAGUUGAAGGCUUCUCAUACACUUGUCAUGUUUGGACAGUCUUGGCAUCAAAAUCUUUAAGAGUAUCGGUUCUGAUGAGCUGUAAUCUGACACGUUCGUCGUAAUCCAGUAGUGAGGUGAAUUGUGAUUCUUGAGAAAUCGUUCUCCAUCUUUUGUAAGUUUAGACAAGAACAAGAUUUGAACACUACUUAAUAGUUGUCCCAUGAUUGUCAGUUUCAACCUGAGUAUUGUAUUGGGUUGAAAGUAAUUGAGAUGCGUAGUCUUCGAAAGAUCAGGUCAGUUUCCAUUUGGAUGAACAUAAAACAUCAUAUUAAAAUCCAAAAAUAUCACAAUCUGAAAUAUAGAGUUAGUAGGUGGGGAGAUAACUGUUUGAUUGAAUCUGAAAUCGAAGAUCGAAAUGAUUGCAUGUUUAUCUCUGUGUUUUAUGAGUAAGCAAUCAUUGUAAAGCACCUCUCAAACUCAGAUCAGAUGUUCUUCCAACUUGAAUCACUCAGAACAAAUACUAAUAGCUUAAUUGAAUCGUUCAAGAUCAAAUAUGUUAAUCAAAGUGCUUCUCCGAUUGCUCAAGAUAUCUCUUUUAAACGGAGGAACAUAACAAGUUCAUCUUGGUGAGAAUGGCAUGAUUUUGAAAUUGACAUAUGCUGGAAUUCAUGCUGUUUUGUCAUGUGGUAUUCAUAUUGGAUUGGGUUUGAUUCAUAAUAUUGAAAGCAUAUUUUUGAACUCUUUGCAAUCGUUUUAGUGUAGCACAUCAGGAUUCAACAACAAUAAUAUAUCCAAUGUAAUCAUACAAAUGGAGUCUGGGAAGCGGAGGAUGUGGCCGGUGUUUACGCAAACCUUAUCCCUGCCUUGUGAAAUUAGAGAGACGGUCUCCAAUAGACCCUCGCUCAGAN
RNAcentral lists this long non-coding RNA (13958 nucleotides) under Capsicum annuum. RNAcentral describes it as "long non-coding RNA (CANN_LNC002246)". The record is from RNAcentral. Lineage: Eukaryota; Viridiplantae; Streptophyta; Magnoliopsida; Solanales; Solanaceae.